This 497-nucleotide ribosomal RNA is filed under the name uncultured bacterium. RNAcentral's name for it is "partial 16S ribosomal RNA". It matches the Rfam family "Bacterial small subunit ribosomal RNA", at positions 28 to 507 of the family's 1533-position model. The record is from RNAcentral.
GAUGAACGCUGGCGGCGUGCCUAAUACAUGCAAGUCGAGCGAACGGACGAGAAGCUUGCUUCUCUGAUGUUAGCGGCGGACGGGUGAGUAACACGUGGAUAACCUACCUAUAAGACUGGGAUAACUUCGGGAAACCGUAGCUAAUACCGGAUAAUAUUUUGAACCGCAUGGUUCAAAAGUGAAAGACGGUCUUGCUGUCACUUAUAGAUGGAUCCCCGCUGCAUUAGCUAGUUGUUAAGGUAACGGCUUACCAGGGCAACGAUGCAUAGCCGACCUGAGAGGGUGAUCGGCCACACUGGAACUGAGACACGGUCCAGACUCCUACGGGAGGCAGCAGUAGGGAAUCUUCCGCAAUGGGCGAAAGCCUGACGGAGCAACGCCGCGUGAGUGAUGAAGGUCUUCGGAUCGUAAAACUCUGUUAUUAGGGAAGAACAUAUGUGUAAGUAACUGUGCACAUCUUGACGGUACCUAAUCAGAAAGCCACGGCUAACUACGUG